AUGACUACUAGCAUCAAGAAUAUCUUUGCACUUAUAUUCAUUAUCUUGGUCAUCAUGAACUCAGGAGUAACAAGUCAAGAGGUUAUUAUUCGCUCUACAAUCUGCCGUGCACUAGGGUCUUGUCCAAAUAAGGAUGAAACUAGUAAUCCAUAUUGUGAUAGGUUUUGUAGAGAAGGAGGUUAUCCUAAAGGUGGAAAAUGUGAGGGAGACUGGUGUUGCUGCGAAAAAAAUUAA
Molecule: non-coding RNA, 234 nt
Organism: Vicia faba (fava bean)
Lineage: Eukaryota; Viridiplantae; Streptophyta; Magnoliopsida; Fabales; Fabaceae
Source: the annotation of a GenBank genome assembly